RNAcentral lists this ribosomal RNA (1177 nucleotides) under uncultured Staphylococcus sp. Its description in RNAcentral is "bacterial SSU rRNA". It matches the Rfam family "Bacterial small subunit ribosomal RNA", at positions 49 to 1217 of the family's 1533-position model. Lineage: Bacteria; Bacillati; Bacillota; Bacilli; Caryophanales; Staphylococcaceae. The record is from RNAcentral.
CUAUACAUGCAAGUCGAGCGAACAGACGAGGAGCUUGCUCCUCUGACGUUAGCGGCGGACGGGUGAGUAACACGUGGAUAACCUACCUAUAAGACUGGGAUAACUUCGGGAAACCGGAGCUAAUACCGGAUAAUAUAUUGAACCGCAUGGUUCAAUAGUGAAAGACGGUUUUGCUGUCACUUAUAGAUGGAUCCGCGCCGCAUUAGCUAGUUGGUAAGGUAACGGCUUACCAAGGCAACGAUGCGUAGCCGACCUGAGAGGGUGAUCGGCCACACUGGAACUGAGACACGGUCCAGACUCCUACGGGAGGCAGCAGUAGGGAAUCUUCCGCAAUGGGCGAAAGCCUGACGGAGCAACGCCGCGUGAGUGAUGAAGGUCUUCGGAUCGUAAAACUCUGUUAUUAGGGAAGAACAAAUGUGUAAGUAACUAUGCACGUCUUGACGGUACCUAAUCAGAAAGCCACGGCUAACUACGUGCCAGCAGCCGCGGUAAUACGUAGGUGGCAAGCGUUAUCCGGAAUUAUUGGGCGUAAAGCGCGCGUAGGCGGUUUUUUAAGUCUGAUGUGAAAGCCCACGGCUCAACCGUGGAGGGUCAUUGGAAACUGGAAAACUUGAGUGCAGAAGAGGAAAGUGGAAUUCCAUGUGUAGCGGUGAAAUGCGCAGAGAUAUGGAGGAACACCAGUGGCGAAGGCGACUUUCUGGUCUGUAACUGACGCUGAUGUGCGAAAGCGUGGGGAUCAAACAGGAUUAGAUACCCUGGUAGUCCACGCCGUAAACGAUGAGUGCUAAGUGUUAGGGGGUUUCCGCCCCUUAGUGCUGCAGCUAACGCAUUAAGCACUCCGCCUGGGGAGUACGACCGCAAGGUUGAAACUCAAAGGAAUUGACGGGGACCCGCACAAGCGGUGGAGCAUGUGGUUUAAUUCGAAGCAACGCGAAGAACCUUACCAAAUCUUGACAUCCUCUGACCCCUCUAGAGAUAGAGUUUUCCCCUUCGGGGGACAGAGUGACAGGUGGUGCAUGGUUGUCGUCAGCUCGUGUCGUGAGAUGUUUGGGUUAAGUCCCGCACGAGCGCACCCUUAAGCUUAGNUGCCAUCAUUAANUUGGCACUCUAAUUGACGGCGGNGGACAACCGAAGGAAGGGGGGAGUAGUCAAUCAUCAGCCCCUUACAUUGGGCUAC